RNAcentral lists this ribosomal RNA (460 nucleotides) under uncultured bacterium. RNAcentral's name for it is "partial 16S ribosomal RNA". It matches the Rfam family "Bacterial small subunit ribosomal RNA", at positions 338 to 795 of the family's 1533-position model. The record is from RNAcentral.
CCUACGGGCGGCAGCAGUGAGGAAUAUUGCUCAAUGGGCGCGAGCCUGAACCAGCCAAGUCGCGUGAAGGAUGACUGCCCUACGGGUUGUAAACUUCUUUUAUAAAGGAAUAAAGUGAGGCGCGUGUGCCUUUUUGUAUGUACUUUAUGAAUAAGGAUCGGCUAACUCCGUGCCAGCAGCCGCGGUAAUACGGAGGAUCCGAGCGUUAUCAGGAUUUAUUGGGUUUAAAGGGAGCGUAGAUGGGUUGUUAAGUCAGUUGUGAAAGUUUGCGGCUCAACCGUAAAAUUGCAAUUGAUACUGGCAGGCUUGAGUACAGUUGAGGUAGGUGGAAUUCGUGGUGUAGCGGUGAAAUGCUUAGAUAUCACGAAGAACUCCGAUUGCGAAGGCAGCUUACUAAACUGCCACUGACAUUGAUGCUCGAAAGUGUGGGUAUCAAACAGGAUUAGAUACCCGGGUAGUC